UGCAGUCGAGCGCUCUCUUCGGAGGGAGCGGCGGACGGGUGAGUAACGCGUGGGAACGUACCCUUCUCUACGGAAUAGCCUCGGGAAACUGAGAGUAAUACCGUAUACGCCCUUAGGGGGAAAGAUUUAUCGGAGAAGGAUUGGCCCGCGUUUGAUUAGAUAGUUGGUGGGGUAAUGGCUUACCAAGUCUACGAUCAAUAGCUGGUUUGAGAGGAUGAUCAGCAACACUGGGACUGAGACACGGCCCAGACUCCUACGGGAGGCAGCAGUGGGGAAUCUUAGACAAUGGGCGCAAGCCUGAUCUAGCCAUGCCGCGUGAGUGACGAAGGUCUUAGGAUCGUAAAGCUCUUUCGCCAGAGAUGAUAAUGACAGUAUCUGGUAAAGAAACCCCGGCUAACUCCGUGCCAGCAGCCGCGGUAAUACGGAGGGGGUUAGCGUUGUUCGGAAUUACUGGGCGUAAAGCGCACGUAGGCGGAUUAGAAAGCAAGAGGUGAAAUCCCAGGGCUCAACCCUGGAACUGCCUUUUGAACUACUAGUCUAGAGUUCGAGAGAGGUGAGUGGAAUUCCAAGUGUAGAGGUGAA
RNAcentral lists this ribosomal RNA (582 nucleotides) under uncultured bacterium. RNAcentral describes it as "bacterial SSU rRNA". It matches the Rfam family "Bacterial small subunit ribosomal RNA", at positions 56 to 685 of the family's 1533-position model. The record is from RNAcentral.